RNAcentral lists this ribosomal RNA (195 nucleotides) under uncultured bacterium. RNAcentral's name for it is "partial 16S ribosomal RNA". It matches the Rfam family "Bacterial small subunit ribosomal RNA", at positions 335 to 524 of the family's 1533-position model. The record is from RNAcentral.
ACUCCUACGGGAGGCAGCAGUGGGAAUCUUGCGCAAUGGGCGAAAGCCUGACGCAGCGACGCCGCGUGAGCGAUGAAGGCCUUCGGGUUGUAAAGCUCUGUGGGGAGGAAAGAAUAAGGCUUGGCUAACAUCCAAGUCGAUGACGGUACCUCCUUAGCAAGCACCGGCUAACUCUGUGCCAGCAGCCGCGGUAAU